GAUGAACGCUGACAGAAUGCUUAACACAUGCAAGUCUUUGGCGAAGCUGUGCUUGCACAGCCUAGCCAAGGCGGACGGGUGAGUAACGCGUAAGGAACUUGCCCUGCAGUCAGGGAUAACAGACGGAAACGACUGAUAAGACCUGGUAAAGUCAGGCGGACUCAUGUCCAGCCUGAUGAAAAGAGAUGCUGCAGGAGAGCCUUGCGUCCUAUUAGCUUGUUGGUGGGGUAACGGCCCACCAAGGCGAUGAUAGGUAGCCGGCCUGAGAGGGUGGACGGCCACAAGGGGACUGAUAUACGGCCCUUACUCCUACGGGAGGCAGCAGUGGGGAAUAUUGGACAAUGGGGGCAACCCUGAUCCAGCAAUUCUGUGUGCACGAUGAAGGUUUUCGGAUUGUAAAGUGCUUUCAGCAGGGAAGAAAAAAUGACGGUACCUGCAGAAGAAGCGACGGCUAAAUACGUG
RNAcentral lists this ribosomal RNA (462 nucleotides) under uncultured bacterium. Its description in RNAcentral is "partial 16S ribosomal RNA". It matches the Rfam family "Bacterial small subunit ribosomal RNA", at positions 28 to 507 of the family's 1533-position model. The record is from RNAcentral.